Molecule: ribosomal RNA, 497 nt
Filed under: uncultured bacterium
Lineage: Bacteria
Description: partial 16S ribosomal RNA
Rfam family: Bacterial small subunit ribosomal RNA
Source: RNAcentral
GACGAACCCUGGCGGCGUUCCUAAUACAUGCAAGUUGAGCGCUGAAGGUUGGUACUUGUACCAACUGGAUGAGCAGCGAACGGGUGAGUAACGCGUGGGGAAUCUGCCUUUGAGCGGGGGACAACAUUUGGAAACGAAUGCUAAUACCGCAUAAAAACUUUAAACACAAGUUUUAAGUUUGAAAGAUGCAAUUGCAUCACUCAAAGAUGAUCCCGCGUUGUAUUAGCUAGUUGGUGAGGUAAAGGCUCACCAAGGCGAUGAUACAUAGCCGACCUGAGAGGGUGAUCGGCCACAUUGGGACUGAGACACAGCCCAAACUCCUACGGGAGGCAGCAGUAGGGAAUCUUCGGCAAUGGACGAAAGUCUGACCGAGCAACGCCGCGUGAGUGAAGAAGGUUUUCGGAUCGUAAAACUCUGUUGGUAGAGAAGAACGUUGGUGAGAGUGGAAAGCUCAUCAAGUGACGGUAACUACCCAGAAAGGGACGGCUAACUACGUG